AUUGAACGCUGGCGGCAUGAUUUACACAUGCAAGUCGAACGGUAACAGGCCGCAAGGUGCUGACGAGUGGCGAACGGGUGAGUAAUGCAUCGGAACGUGCCCAGUCGUGGGGGAUAACUACUCGAAAGAGUAGCUAAUACCGCAUACGAUCUAUGGAUGAAAGCGGGGGACCGUAAGGCCUCGCGCGAUUGGAGCGGCCGAUGUCAGAUUAGGUAGUUGGUGGGGUAAAGGCUCACCAAGCCAACGAUCUGUAGCUGGUCUGAGAGGACGACCAGCCACACUGGGACUGAGACACGGCCCAGACUCCUACGGGAGGCAGCAGUGGGGAAUUUUGGACAAUGGGCGCAAGCCUGAUCCAGCAAUGCCGCGUGCAGGAAGAAGGCCUUCGGGUUGUAAACUGCUUUUGUUCGGAACGAAACGGCUCUGGUUAAUACCCGGGGCUAAUGACGGUACCGUAAGAAUAAGCACCGGCUAACUACGUG
This 482-nucleotide ribosomal RNA is filed under the name uncultured bacterium. Its description in RNAcentral is "partial 16S ribosomal RNA". It matches the Rfam family "Bacterial small subunit ribosomal RNA", at positions 30 to 507 of the family's 1533-position model. The record is from RNAcentral.